GGGUGUGAGAGCACGAACCCCCCACAAUGGGACUGAGACACGGCCCAUACUUCUACGGGAGGCAGCAGCAGGGAAUAUUGCACAAUGGACGCAAGUCUGAUGCAGCGACGCCGCGUGGAUGAUGAAGGCCCUCGGGUCGUAAAAUCCUUUUCAGGGGGACGAGGAAGGACGGUACCCCUGGAAUAAGCGUCGGCUAACUACGUGCCAGCAGCCGCGGUAAGACGUAGGACGCAAGCGUUAUCCGGAUUUACUGGGCGUAAAGCGUCUGUAGGCGGUUCGAUAAGUUGGGCGUGAAAGCUCCGGGCUUAACCCGGAGAGGUCGUUCAAUACUGUCGAACUAGAGGACAUCAGAGGAGCAUGGAAUUUCCGGUGUAGCGGUAAAAUGCGCAGAUAUCGGAAGGAACACCAGUGGCGAAGGCGGUGCUCUGGGGUGGGCCUGACGCUGAGAGACGAAAGCUAGGGGAGCGAACAGGAUUAGAGACCCUGGUAGUCCUAGCCCUAAACGAUGGAUGCUAGGUGUGGGGCCGAGAAGGCUCUGUGCCGCAGUUAACGCGCUAAGCAUCCCGCCUGGGGAUUACGGCCGCAAGGCUAAAACUCAAACGAAUUGACGGGGCCCCGCACAAGCAGCGGAGCGUGUGGUUUAAUUCGAUGCUACACGAAGAACCUUACCUGGGUUUGACAUGUACGUGGUAGAGAAGCGAAAGCGGAUCGACCCUUCGGGGAGCGUACACAGGUGCUGCAUGGCUGUCGUCAGCUCGUGCCGUGAGGUGUCGGGUUAAGUCCCGUAACGAGCGCAACCCUUGCCCUUAGUUACAAGUGUCUAAGGGGACUGCCGGCGGUAAGCCGGAGGAAGGUGGGGAUGACGUCAAGUCAGCAUGGCCCUUAUAUCCAGGGCUACACACACGCUACAAUGGUCAGUACAAAGGGCAGCGAAGCCGCGAGGUGAAGCGAAUCCCAACAAAGCUGAUCUAAGUUCGGAUUGCAGGCUGCAACUCGCCUGCAUGAAGCUGGAGUUGCUAGUAACCGCGCGUCAGCUAUAGUGCGGUGAAUACGUUCCCGGGGCUUGUACACACCGCCCGUCACGUCA
Molecule: ribosomal RNA, 1087 nt
Filed under: uncultured organism
Description: bacterial SSU rRNA
Rfam family: Bacterial small subunit ribosomal RNA
Source: RNAcentral